AAGCCUUGAGCUGGUUUCAAUGGUGGGAGGGUUAUAACCUAUUGAUAAACACUAGUAUCAAAAGAAGUUUGAAAAGAAAGAAUUUGUAAAGGAAAUGCCCCUAACCAGAAUCAAUUUGAUUCUGCUAGGGUUCUAGUGGAGAAUUUUAUUGAAUUAGGAUGAAGAAUAGAAGAAUUAGGAGUACAAUGGAUCCCUCGAUCCUCCCCUGUUCCUGAUUCCACAAUCAGUGAACUUUCCCUCUCAAAAACUAACUAACUUCUCUUAACAACUUCCUAUUUAUAGAAAUAGGAAUAACUACCUAACUACCCAAGGGUAUAAUAGGUAAGUUUGGUUAUUUUACUUCAACCAAACUCCCCUCUUGCCCCUUUUGUAUACAUUUGUCACCCUUGGCCUGGAUUGAGCCUUAUCAAUACCCUCCCCUAAAAGAAACAACUUGUCCUCAAGUUGGAAAUCUGGAAAUCUUGCUUGAAGGGUGUCUAUAUCCUCCCAAGAACAGUCAUGGUCUGGAAGGUCUUUCCAUUUGACUAAUACCUCCUUCUUCCCUUGAGCUCCUGUCCUCUGGUCCAAGAGGGUCUCUGGUUCUACCACUAAUUCCAAUUCUUCAUUCAACAUUGGAGGUAGGGCCUGAGGUAGUUGUUGAGGCUUUAGGGCCUACUUCAGCAAGGAUAUGUGGAAUACUGGAUGUAUUCUGGCAUGAGGGGGAAAAGCCAACUUAUAAGCAACUGCUCCCACCUUCUCAAUCACUUGGUAGGGACCACAGUAUCUAGGAGCUAGCUUGGCAUAAGGACGCUUGGCCAAAGACUUAAGUUUGUAGGGUUGUAACUUGAGAUAGACCCAAUCUCCCAACUCAAAUCCCACAUUCCUCGUGUGCUUAUCUGCCUGUUGCUUCAUCAGGUUCUGAGCUUUCAACAAAUUUUCCUUCAAUUCUGCCAACACCCCAUCUCUCUGUAUCACCGUCCUGUUUACCUCAUCCACCUUAGAGGGAAUAGCCCCUGCCUUCAGUAGAGUUGGUGCCUCUCUGCCAUAUAAUGCCUUAAAGGGUGUCAUCCCAGCUGAAGCAUUAUAAUUGGAAUUAAACCAGAACUCAGCCCAGGAUAGCCACUCUAACCACUGCUUGGGUUUAGGGCCAGCAAAACACCUAAGGUAGGUCUCCAAGCAUCUAUUAACCACCUCAGUCUGUCCAUCACUUUGAGGAUGAUAGGAAGUACUAAACUUUAGUUGUGUGCCAGCAACUUUGAACACCUCCUUCCAGAACUGGCUAAGGAACACAGAAUCUCUAUCAGAAAUGAUGCUAGAGGGAAACCCAUGGAGCUUAACCACUUCUUUUAGGAACAGGGUAGCAACAUCCUUUGCUGAAUAAGGAUGUCCCAAAGCAAACAUGUGAGCAUACUUGGAUAAUCUGUCAACAACCACAAAAAUAGUAUCCUUGCCUUUGAUCCUGGGUAGCCCCCCUAUGAAGUCCAUAGAAAUAUCUCCCCAUACUUCUUGAGGUAUAGGAAUGGGUUGUAAGAGCCCUGUAGGGGCUAGGGUAGAAUACUUGCUCCUCUGACACACCUCACAUUCCUCUACAAACCUUUUUAUAUCAGCCUUCAUUCCCUCCCAGUAUAAGAAGUUGGCAAUCUUCUUGUAAGUCCUGAGAUGGCCAGAGUGUCCACCCAUGGGAGUAUCAUGACAUUCUGCCAUUAUGAUAGGAAUUCUGUUGGAAUUUUUGGAUAAGACCAACUUGCCUUUAUAAUAGAGGACCCCCUUCCUUAACUCAUAGUCUGGGUGAGAUGUAGUAGAGAUGAUCAUCUCUUGGAUAACCUGCUUCCACUUGGGGUCUUGUUGCAACUCUGUAUUCCAUAGAUCAACCUCCUCACUGCUAAUAAGGGAUAUGGCAGAGUACAUAAGUUUUCUGGAAAGAGCAUCAGCCACAGAAUUCUCACACCCUGGCUUAUAUUGGAUCUCAAAAUCUAGCCCAACCAACUUAGCUGCCCACUUGAAUUGCUCAUCUGAAAACAACCUCUGUUCAGUGAGAAAUUUCAGACUCUUCUGAUCUGUUUUGAUGAUGAAAUGCCUUCCAACUAAGUAGUGCCUCCAUUUCUGAAUUGCCUGGACCAAGGCCAUCAACUUCCUCUCAUACACAGAUUUCUGUUGAGCCCUUAAGGACAGACCCUGACUCCAAAAAGCUAGGGGUCUUCCCUCUUGCAUUAAAACUGCUCCUAAUCCCUUGCUGGAUGCAUCUGUUUCUAUGGUAAAAACUUUCUCAAAGUUAGGAACAGCUAGCAAAGGCAGAGUAGUCAUGGCUUUCUUCAACUCUUCAAAAGCAGCAGUGGCAUCAGAAUUCCAUUUGAAUGAAUCCUUCUUGAGCAACUCAGUUAGUGGCUUAGCAAUCCUACCAUAAUUCUGGACAAACUUCCUAUAGUACCCAGUGAGCCCUAGGAACCCCCUCAAGGCCUUAAUGUUGGUAGGUUGAGGCCAGGUCACCAUAUCCUCUACUUUAGACAAGUCAGCAGAUACCCCCUGAUCAGAGAUGAUGUGGCCUAGGUACUCAAUGCUAGUCUGCCCAAAACUACACUUUUUCUGAUUUGCCUUCAACUGAUGUUCUGCCAGCAAUGUCAACACUUGUUGUAGAUGAUGGUUGUGGGUUUCUAUAUCCAAGCUAUAAACUAAGAUAUCAUCAAAGAAUACCAGGGCAAACUUCCUCAAAUAGGGCCUCAAAAUCUCAUUCAUCAUGGACUGAAAUGUAUAAGGAGCAUUGGUAAGCCCAAAGGGCAUUACCAAGAACUCAUAGUGCCCCUCAUGAGUUCUAAAAGCAGUUUUCUCAACAUCUGCCUCAUUCAUUCUUAUCUGAUGGUACCCUGCCUUGAGAUCUAAUUUGGAAAACAUCCUGGCACCCCCUAACUCAUCAAGCAACUCUUCAAUCAAAGGGAUAGGAAACUUAUUGGGUACAGUAAUCUUGUUAAGUGCCCUAUAGUCAACACAAAACCUCCAACCCCCAUCCUUCUUCUUCACCAAGAUGACAGGGCUAGAGUAUGGGCUUAUACUAGGCCUAAUCACCCCUGCCCCCAUCAUUUCUGCUACCAACCUUUCAAUUUCAGCCUUCUGGUAGUGUGGACACCUAUAAGGUCGAAUAUUAGGAACCUCAGUGCCCUCUUUUAAGUGAAUGGCAUGGUCAUGUCUCCUUGGGGGAGGAAGACCCUGAGGUUCUUGGAAGACCUCCUGAAACAGGCAGAGCACCUGCUGCAAUUCCUUGGGCACCCCACCUGCAUCCUGAACCUGAUGGAGAGUGUCAUAUUGAAUUAGUAGGCCUUCCCCUUCUUCCUUAAGAACCUGCAUGAAGGCCCCCAAUGAUAAUUCUGUCCUGGUUAAAGUAGGAUCCCCUGUUAAGGUGAAAGUAGACCCUGCUAUGUUUAUAUUCAACACCAUCUUCCCAAAAUCAGCACUGACUCUGCCCAAUCCUGCUAACCAUUCAAUGCCUAGCACCAAGUCCACCCCCUUCAACCCAAACAGGUAGAAAUCCUGCACCACCUCAAGCCCUUGUAAACUCAAUUUGAGUUGAGAACACCUUCCUUGACACUUCACUCGGUGGCCAUCCCCCACUUCUACAAAAUAAGCCCUGGUUUCUUGCACCUUCAACCCCAUACUUUCCACCACUUCCUUGGCUAUGAAGUUAUGUGAAGCUCCACAGUCAAUCAUUACCACCACUGACCUUCCUCCUAGAAUCCCUCUGAUCUUCCAAGAUUUGGUAGAUGUGAACCCCCUAUGGAAUACAAUGAUAAUUGUAAAGAGUUGAAGACAUCAAGCUCCUAUCCCAAUUCCAUUUCUCCCUUAGAUUCCUCCCUCAGAUUCCUCCCCUUCACCCAAGAUGAGCAUCCUAAGUUGCUUCUUCUGGCAUAUGUGAUCCCUAGAAAAAGGUUCAUCACACCGAAAACAGAGACCUUUUUCUCUCUUCUCCCUCAUCUCCACACUGGUAAGCCUCCUAUACUCUCCUCUGCUUCUAGAUUGAUCAACUUCCUGAACCCCCCUAGAGCUGCCAACCCCACUACUCCCUGUUGAGGACCCUCCCCUUCUAAUAUUACUCAUAUUAGAUGGUUCUACUGAUACCACUCUGCUAUAAGCAGAGUUCUUGGAAGGGGCACUAGACCUCCCAAACCCCCCACUAGGCCUCCUAUUCACAACUGUAUUUUUCUGUUCAAUGAGUAUGGUUUUUUGUAUCAUCUCAGCUAGGGUGCCCAGUUCAUACAAUUUCACUUCUGCCCUAACCUCUUCCCUCAACCCAUUUAAGAAAAUCCCCUUCACAAUAUCUUGAUUAGUAUCCAGUAAAGCCCCUGCAUAUUUCUCAAAUUCCUCUACAUACAACUCCACACUCCCUUCCUGUUUUAAAGCUAACAACAAUUCGAAAGGAUUUUGUAUCAUUGAAGGUUGGAAUCGCCUUACCACUGCAAUCUUGAAACUGCUCCAAGUAGGUGAUGGGUUACACCGUUCCCACCACUGAAACCAACUAAGAGCUCUCCCAUCUAGGGCCACCAUGGUUGCUUGCAUCCUUUCAGCUUCUGUGAUGGCUCUCAUUGUGAAAUACCUUUCCAAUUUCUGGACCCAUCCAUGCGCAUCAUCACCACUGAAAAUUGGAAUCUCCAGCUUUCUCCAUUUAUCGUGGCACACGGGUAAUUUCUGACUCUCCACCUCUUCAUCGUUCUCACUACUCCUUUCUGGAUUCUAGUUGUCACUCAUAAUCCCCAAUUUCGAAGCUAUAGCUUCGAGUAGAUCCUCUGUCUUCUUCAUGCGUGCCUCGUUGAAUUCCACACGCAUACGUAGCUCAUCUCUGUCUUUUUUCAUUCCCUCCCAAUCCUCGUCUUCUCGUGACAUACUUCUGGUAGAUACCAUUAGCAAUUGCAGCGGAAUCGUUGGUGGUUUCCACUCCCAUCAGGCACCAAAAACGAUGCUCUGAUACCAGUGAUAAACACUGGUAUCAAAAGAAGUUUGAAAAGAAAGAAUUUGUAAAGGAAAUGCCCCUAACCAGAAUCAAAUCAUUCUGCUAGGGUUCUAAUGGAGAAUUUUAUUGAAUUAGAAUGCAGAAUAGAAGAGAAUAGAGCACAAUGGAUCCCACGAUCCUCCUCUGUUACUGAUUCCUCAAUCGGUGACUUUUCCCUCUAAAAAACUAACUAACUUCCUCCAACAACUUUCUAUUUAUAGAAAUAGAGAUAACUACCUAACUACCCAAGGGUAUAAUAGGUAAGUUUGGUUAUUUUACUUCAACCAAACUCCCCUCUUGCCCCUUUUGUAUACAUUUGUCACCCUUGGCUUGGAUUGAGCCUUAUCACCUAUCUCCUACUUGGGAAAGCUUCAAAAUAGAUGUGGUAAGGAGGUUCCAACCAUCUAUGGUAUAGAAUCCUUUUGAAUUACUUUUGUCCUUGAAGCAAGAAGGUAGGUUGAAGCUUAUGUUGAGGAGUUUGAGAAGACAGAGAAGUAUGCAAGGGCUUUAAGGGAGGUUAACCAAAAAUUUGUGAGAGGGGUCUUCCUCAAUGGACUCAAAG
RNAcentral lists this long non-coding RNA (5516 nucleotides) under Lupinus angustifolius (narrow-leaved blue lupine). RNAcentral's name for it is "long non-coding RNA (LANG_LNC002650)". The record is from RNAcentral. Lineage: Eukaryota; Viridiplantae; Streptophyta; Magnoliopsida; Fabales; Fabaceae.